GGGUUGUGAGGUUAAGCGACUAAGCGUACACGGUGGAUGCCCUGGCAGUCAGAGGCGAUGAAGGACGUGCUAAUCUGCGAUAAGCGUCGGUAAGGUGAUAUGAACCGUUAUAACCGGCGAUUUCCGAAUGGGGAAACCCAGUGUGAUUCGUCACACUAUCAUUAACUGAAUCCAUAGGUUAAUGAGGCGAACCGGGGGAACUGAAACAUCUAAGUACCCCGAGGAAAAGAAAUCAACCGAGAUUCCCCCAGUAGCGGCGAGCGAACGGGGAGCAGCCCAGAACCUGAAUCAGUGUGUGUGUUAGUGGAAGCGUCUGGAAAGGCGCGCGAUACAGGGUGACAGCCCCGUACACAAAAAUGCACAUGCUGUGAGCUCGAUGAGUAGGGCGGGACACGUGGUAUCCUGUCUGAAUAUGGGGGACCAUCCUCCAAGGCUAAAUACUCCUGACUGACCGAUAGUGAACCAGUACCGUGAGGGAAAGGCGAAAAGAACCCCGGCGAGGGGAGUGAAAAAGAACCUGAAACCGUGUACGUACAAGCAGUGGGAGCACGCUUCGGCGUGUGACUGCGUACCUUUUGUAUAAUGGGUCAGCGACUUAUAUUCUGUAGCAAGGUUAACCGAAUAGGGGAGCCGAAGGGAAACCGAGUCUUAACUGGGCGUUAAGUUGCAGGGUAUAGACCCGAAACCCGGUGAUCUAGCCAUGGGCAGGUUGAAGGUUGGGUAACACUAACUGGAGGACCGAACCGACUAAUGUUGAAAAAUUAGCGGAUGACUUGUGGCUGGGGGUGAAAGGCCAAUCAAACCGGGAGAUAGCUGGUUCUCCCCGAAAGCUAUUUAGGUAGCGCCUCGUGAAUUCAUCUCCGGGGGUAGAGCACUGUUUCGGCAAGGGGGUCAUCCCGACUUACCAACCCGAUGCAAACUGCGAAUACCGGAGAAUGUUAUCACGGGAGACACACGGCGGGUGCUAACGUCCGUCGUGAAGAGGGAAACAACCCAGACCGCCAGCUAAGGUCCCAAAGUCAUGGUUAAGUGGGAAACGAUGUGGGAAGGCCCAGACAGCCAGGAUGUUGGCUUAGAAGCAGCCAUCAUUUAAAGAAAGCGUAAUAGCUCACUGGUCGAGUCGGCCUGCGCGGAAGAUGUAACGGGGCUAAACCAUGCACCGAAGCUGCGGCAGCGACGCUUAUGCGUUGUUGGGUAGGGGAGCGUUCUGUAAGCCUGUGAAGGUGUGCUGUGAGGCAUGCUGGAGGUAUCAGAAGUGCGAAUGCUGACAUAAGUAACGAUAAAGCGGGUGAAAAGCCCGCUCGCCGGAAGACCAAGGGUUCCUGUCCAACGUUAAUCGGGGCAGGGUGAGUCGACCCCUAAGGCGAGGCCGAAAGGCGUAGUCGAUGGGAAACAGGUUAAUAUUCCUGUACUUGGUGUUACUGCGAAGGGGGGACGGAGAAGGCUAUGUUGGCCGGGCGACGGUUGUCCCGGUUUAAGCGUGUAGGCUGGUUUUCCAGGCAAAUCCGGAAAAUCAAGGCUGAGGCGUGAUGACGAGGCACUACGGUGCUGAAGCAACAAAUGCCCUGCUUCCAGGAAAAGCCUCUAAGCAUCAGGUAACAUCAAAUCGUACCCCAAACCGACACAGGUGGUCAGGUAGAGAAUACCAAGGCGCUUGAGAGAACUCGGGUGAAGGAACUAGGCAAAAUGGUGCCGUAACUUCGGGAGAAGGCACGCUGAUAUGUAGGUGAAGUCCCUCGCGGAUGGAGCUGAAAUCAGUCGAAGAUACCAGCUGGCUGCAACUGUUUAUUAAAAACACAGCACUGUGCAAACACGAAAGUGGACGUAUACGGUGUGACGCCUGCCCGGUGCCGGAAGGUUAAUUGAUGGGGUUAGCGGUAACGCGAAGCUCUUGAUCGAAGCCCCGGUAAACGGCGGCCGUAACUAUAACGGUCCUAAGGUAGCGAAAUUCCUUGUCGGGUAAGUUCCGACCUGCACGAAUGGCGUAAUGAUGGCCAGGCUGUCUCCACCCGAGACUCAGUGAAAUUGAACUCGCUGUGAAGAUGCAGUGUACCCGCGGCAAGACGGAAAGACCCCGUGAACCUUUACUAUAGCUUGACACUGAACAUUGAGCCUUGAUGUGUAGGAUAGGUGGGAGGCUUUGAAGUGUGGACGCCAGUCUGCAUGGAGCCGACCUUGAAAUACCACCCUUUAAUGUUUGAUGUUCUAACGUUGACCCGUAAUCCGGGUUGCGGACAGUGUCUGGUGGGUAGUUUGACUGGGGCGGUCUCCUCCUAAAGAGUAACGGAGGAGCACGAAGGUUGGCUAAUCCUGGUCGGACAUCAGGAGGUUAGUGCAAUGGCAUAAGCCAGCUUGACUGCGAGCGUGACGGCGCGAGCAGGUGCGAAAGCAGGUCAUAGUGAUCCGGUGGUUCUGAAUGGAAGGGCCAUCGCUCAACGGAUAAAAGGUACUCCGGGGAUAACAGGCUGAUACCGCCCAAGAGUUCAUAUCGACGGCGGUGUUUGGCACCUCGAUGUCGGCUCAUCACAUCCUGGGGCUGAAGUAGGUCCCAAGGGUAUGGCUGUUCGCCAUUUAAAGUGGUACGCGAGCUGGGUUUAGAACGUCGUGAGACAGUUCGGUCCCUAUCUGCCGUGGGCGCUGGAGAACUGAGGGGGGCUGCUCCUAGUACGAGAGGACCGGAGUGGACGCAUCACUGGUGUUCGGGUUGUCAUGCCAAUGGCACUGCCCGGUAGCUAAAUGCGGAAGAGAUAAGUGCUGAAAGCAUCUAAGCACGAAACUUGCCCCGAGAUGAGUUCUCCCUGACUCCUUGAGAGUCCUGAAGGAACGUUGAAGACGACGACGUUGAUAGGCCGGGUGUGUAAGCGCAGCGAUGCGUUGAGCUAACCGGUACUAAUGAACCGUGAGGCUUAACCUUACAACGCCGAAGGUGUUU
Molecule: ribosomal RNA, 2932 nt
Filed under: Escherichia coli
Lineage: Bacteria; Pseudomonadati; Pseudomonadota; Gammaproteobacteria; Enterobacterales; Enterobacteriaceae
Description: bacterial LSU rRNA
Rfam family: Bacterial large subunit ribosomal RNA
Source: RNAcentral